Molecule: small RNA, 29 nt
Filed under: Bombyx mori (domestic silkworm)
Lineage: Eukaryota; Metazoa; Arthropoda; Insecta; Lepidoptera; Bombycidae
Description: ovarian small RNA-21958
Source: RNAcentral
UAGACUAGUUAGUACCUCGGAUUUGCCAC